UUAUAUUUUGGUGGGGGCGAAAUAGGAUCGACGAGAGUGUAAAGAUUGCUCUUUUACUCGGCGUAGUACCACCGUUAUCGGACUAAAUGAGUAGUUGCGAAUGACAACUAUGCGGAAGCACGUAUCGCCGCUUAAUGUGGUGUGAAUGCUUCAAAUUAAGCCUUAACCUAUCGCAGG
This 177-nucleotide transfer-messenger RNA is filed under the name Bartonella sp. RNAcentral's name for it is "partial ssrA". It matches the Rfam family "Alphaproteobacteria transfer-messenger RNA", at positions 136 to 310 of the family's 355-position model. From Rfam's summary of the family: Bacterial tmRNA, also known as 10Sa RNA or SsrA, is named for its dual tRNA and mRNA-like properties. The record is from RNAcentral. Lineage: Bacteria; Pseudomonadati; Pseudomonadota; Alphaproteobacteria; Hyphomicrobiales; Bartonellaceae.